Molecule: ribosomal RNA, 468 nt
Filed under: uncultured bacterium
Lineage: Bacteria
Description: partial 16S ribosomal RNA
Rfam family: Bacterial small subunit ribosomal RNA
Source: RNAcentral
GACGAACGCUGGCGGCGUGCUUAACACAUGCAAGUCGAACGGAAAGGCCCUGCUUUUGUGGGGUGCUCGAGUGGCGAACGGGUGAGUAACACGUGAGUAACCUGCCCUUGACUUUGGGAUAACUUCAGGAAACUGGGGCUAAUACCGGAUAGGAGCUCCUGCUGCAUGGUGGGGGUUGGAAAGUUUCGGCGGUUGGGGAUGGACUCGCGGCUUAUCAGCUUGUUGGUGGGGUAGUGGCUUACCAAGGCUUUGACGGGUAGCCGGCCUGAGAGGGUGACCGGCAACAUUGGGACUGAGAUACGGCCCAGACUCCUACGGGAGGCAGCAGUGGGGAAUAUUGCACAAUGGGCGGAAGCCUGAUGCAGCAACGCCGCGUGCGGGAUGACGGCAUUCGGGUUGUAAACCGAUUUCGCCUGUGACGAAGCGUGAGUGACGGUAAUGGGUAAAGAAGCACCGGCUAACUACGUG